RNAcentral lists this long non-coding RNA (1984 nucleotides) under Cricetulus griseus (Chinese hamster). RNAcentral describes it as "lncRNA (ENSCGRG00015030421.1)". Lineage: Eukaryota; Metazoa; Chordata; Mammalia; Rodentia; Cricetidae. The record is from RNAcentral.
CAUUCCCUACCACAGAGAUCAUUGUCAAGCAGGUGCUGUGUGGUUCAUUCUCUGAGGGCUAAAGAAAACUUUUUUUUUUUUUUUUGGUAUUCAUACGGUAUCCAGGUUACAUCUUGAUAAUUACUUUAAAACUAGGAGUAAAAAAAUGGCAGAUGGAAUGUUGUUGCUUUUCCUUUUUCCUCCUCUUCUCCCUUUAUGUCUUCACAUUGUCAGGAUGGCUCCAUCCAUUUAGAUGGCAAGGCGGUUCUGAAUGAAGGCAGCCCUGCACCUUCCGCAGCCAUCCCUCCAGUUCAAUUAUGGUGCUUUAGCGGGGCUAAUUAGCAUUCCUCAGAGCUGGAGCUCUUUGAGUGACAGGUAACCAUGGAGAGUCACACUCUGGGUGAUCAGCAAGAAUCUAGCUUUUCUUUUUAAUUAAAAAUUAGAAAAGCCUUAAAGAAAAAGGAGAGCAUUUACUGAUGUGAGCUGCUAGCCCACGGCUUCUGCUGUCUAACGGGUAGCAAUGGUGUCAGAGGCAAGUGGGGACCGUUUCAAAAGGGAUCCAGGGGAAUACCACAAUGGUCUGAAACAGGAAAAAUGUUUAUCAUUCUGCUCUGAAAAUGGACAUCUGAAAGAAAGCAUGAAAAGACAAAGGAUCUGGGGUUCUUCUAAUGUCGCCAUGUUUUCAGAGUUUGAAAAAUAGCACUGUAUUCAACAACACCUUUCUCUGCCUCUGAUAAAAAUAUUAGAAUUUGCACUUGGGGAUAGUAUAUUCAGUUAUUAAAUGAUACAUGUUUAGUAAAUGAUGCUUGGUGGGGGAUAAAAAAUGUGACUGCAAAGUGCAAAUAUUAACAAUCAUUUCAGUCCUGAGAAAUAUGUAAAAGCCCCAUAGUCUGUAAGCAUGUGACCUGCUCCUAGGACCGAGGGCAACGGGCAGUGUGUGCCUUUCCAACGGAGUGAAUACAUAAGCAGGUCAGAGAGGUGAAUGAAAAAUUGUCAUCUUAGCUCACUGGCCCACAUUCCAGAAAAAGGCGAGAAAUUUUGGAAUGCUUUAAAAAAGCAUCUGAUAAUUUUCCUACUCAAAACCACGCAAGUAAACAAUCCGGAUAAUCAAAAUCGGCUUUCGUUUUUCCCAAAUUGAAAAGAAAAGGCUUUAUUUCCUUGCUGCUUAUAUUCAGCUUUAAAAAAAAAAAAAAAUUGAACUUGAACAUGCCUCUCCCUUUCCUGUUUUUACCCAAAUGUAAAAUUGUAAAAACAGUCAGUAGUGUUAUUUCUGGCCAGCAUCAAGCCUGGAAGCUCUCACAGUCUUGAGGGAGUGUCUGAUCCGAAGAGCUUCCCAGCCACACUUCUGCUACAGAGGUGGGAAAACGAAAACUACACCAGGGUGUAUUCUUCCCUCCACACUUCAGGAUGGUCUCCACUUUGGGAAGAUUCAUUUAGCGAAUGAUAAAAGUCAGUUAUGCUAAUUUAAUUUACUGUCACGUGCUUCUCAUUUUGCAUUCCCAAAACUAGUUGUUUGUUCGUUUGUUUGUUUUAAGGUACAAGUUGAAUAAAGAAACAGAUGUUAAUUCUAAAAGUCUUUCUCCUACAAUAUGUAGCAAUGGACACGGUCCAUCACACUGCUAAUUUAAUGCUCUUUAUAAUCAUGUUCUUUCUUAAUAAUUCCUCAGCUUUCAAGAUUUACACAAAAUUGAAUCUUACUCCAUAAAAGUAGAUUCUUCUCUCAAAAUCCAUAAAUCUAGUCGCAAUAAAUUUAACUUAUGAUUUGCUGGUGGGAAAUGAUUUACAAUGGGAAAAUAAAAAGAAUAGUAUGUUCCAAGAAUCUCAAAAUUGAUUUAUUUUUUCAGAAACUUUUCUAUAUCUUCUAGAAUUCUAUUGGAGGACUAAGAACCAUUCUGACAUAGAAGUAUAGAGUUCAAAUGUAAAUGACUUCUUUUUGCAAGUGAAUGAGAUGAAAUCAUUAUACUUGCUUCACUGAACAGAAAACACUACACAUUUUAAAACAAAC